UGACGGUACUUGACUAAGAAGCCCCGGCUAACUACGUGCCAGCAGCCGCGGUAAUACGUAGGGGGCAAGCGUUAUCCGGAUUUACUGGGUGUAAAGGGAGCGUAGACGGCAUCGUAAGUCUGAUGUGAAAGGCAGGGGCUCAACUCCUGGACUGCAUUGGAAACUACGAAGCUUGAGUGCCGGAGGGGUAAGCGGAAUUCCUAGUGUAGCGGUGAAAUGCGUAGAUAUUAGGAGGAACACCAGUGGCGAAGGCGGCUUACUGGACGGUAACUGACGUUGAGGCUCGAAAGCGUGGGGAGCAAACAGGAUUAGAUACCCUG
Molecule: ribosomal RNA, 320 nt
Filed under: uncultured bacterium
Lineage: Bacteria
Description: bacterial SSU rRNA
Rfam family: Bacterial small subunit ribosomal RNA
Source: RNAcentral